RNAcentral lists this ribosomal RNA (274 nucleotides) under uncultured bacterium. RNAcentral describes it as "partial 16S ribosomal RNA". It matches the Rfam family "Bacterial small subunit ribosomal RNA", at positions 523 to 796 of the family's 1533-position model. The record is from RNAcentral.
AUACGGAGGGUCCAAGCGUUAUCCGGAAUCAUUGGGUUUAAAGGGUCCGCAGGCGGUCAAUUAAGUCAGAGGUGAAAGCCCAUCGCUCAACGAUGGAACUGCCUUUGAUACUGGUUGACUUGAGUUAUACGGAAGUAGAUAGAAUAUGUAGUGUAGCGGUGAAAUGCAUAGAUAUUACUUAGAAUACCGAUUGCGAAGGCAGUCUACUACGUAUAUACUGACGCUGAGGGACGAAAGCGUGGGGAGCGAACAGGAUGAGAAACCCUGGUAGUCC